CUCGGACCGCGCCUGCGCCAUCCUCGGCGCGAGGGGCCGGUACCUUUAAGGAGCCGCGGCAUUGCGUCAUUUUUCCGCGACGCCCCCACGCUCUUGCUCCCGCCCUCUCGCCCGCCAUCGCUGGAUGCAGCCAAUCAGAAGCGUCAUUCCCCGGUAGGGCCCUCGGGUGCUGCCCCCGCGCCGUCAGAGGCUGUCCACGGCCGGGAGGGAUCGCUGCGGCGCCGGAGGGCUUUGCGGCCGGCGGGGACUCUGUGGUGGAGCCGGUGGCCUCUGGACCCCCGAGUCUCGGCUCCUGCGCUCUAGCUGUGGCCACGGGCACGGUGCCCAUCCUCACCUCUCCGUCUGCAGCCUGAAGACGAUGACUUCUUAGUGUUGUGGACUAGCCUGUGAGCAAGGACGCAGUAGGUGUAGUUCUCAUUCUGUUUGAGAGAAAAGCCGCUUCCCAAGAAGAUGAAUUAUCAAGAAUGAUUCAAAGGACCUGAAAGGAAACUUCCAAACCUUAGAAGGUUACAAUAUAACAGCCCUGGGCAUAGGUUGCCCCAAUAAUGUCUUCCAAACUAAGUCCAGUGCAAGGAACUUUAUUUCACUUCCUAAAGAGAGAGCGAGGAAAGGAGAGAGAGAAAAACAGAGGUGGUGCUGGAGCAGCGAGCCUCCUUCACAUCCCCACUGGGGAUCGAGCCUGCAACCUGGACAUGUGCUCUGAUCCGGAAUCAAACUAGUGACCUUUUGGUGCAUGGGACUAAGCUCAACCAACUGUGCCACACUGGCCAAGGCUCAGCCUUCUCUUUUAUGACCAUUUCCUCUAUUGCUGUAUCACAGUCCCAACCAGCAGUCUUAGGAAGAUUGUUUUCAAGCAGAUUCUGGAACCUUGACCUCUCCAGCCCAAUUCAUUGCUCACGGUGACCAAGACACGGAAACAACCAAAGUGUCCUGUGAUAGAGGACUGGAUAAGGAAGAUGUGGUUCAUAUACACAAUGGAA
Myotis brandtii (Brandt's bat) is the source of this 980-nucleotide long non-coding RNA. RefSeq lists it as uncharacterized. The transcript is spliced from 5 exons. The record is from RefSeq and is a predicted model, not a curated record. NCBI's taxonomy places the organism in Eukaryota, Metazoa, Chordata, Mammalia, Chiroptera, Vespertilionidae.